RNAcentral lists this ribosomal RNA (612 nucleotides) under Triticum aestivum (bread wheat). Its description in RNAcentral is "partial small subunit ribosomal RNA". The record is from RNAcentral. Lineage: Eukaryota; Viridiplantae; Streptophyta; Magnoliopsida; Poales; Poaceae.
AUGAUAGGAAUAUUUUGGAAUUGUAGGGGGGUAGGUAAGGAAGGCAUGUCUACCUGCCUCACUGAUAUUAUUAAUGCCAAUGGUGUUGAUUUUAUUGGUCUUCAAGAGACUAUGAGAAAUUCCUAUAACCCUUCCUUUUUUAGGAAGUUGGACCCUGGACAAAAAAUUUAUUGGGAAUGGGUACCUUCUAGGGGCAAAUCUAGAGGUAUCUUGUGUGGUAUCAAUAAAGAUAAAUUUGAUCUUAUUACUGUUAAACAUGGUAAAUAUAUCCUUCAACUGGACCUCUUUGAUAAAAGUAAGAAAUGUAGCUGGUCUCUGAUGGUGGUAUAUGGAGCAGCUCAUGAUGAAAAUAAACCUGAGUUUAUAGCUGAGCUAUCACAUAUGUGUAAUAGUACCCACAUCCUUUAUUUGGUGGUGGUGGGUGGGGGGGAUUUCAAUAUACUUCGACACAGUGGUGAGAAGACAAAAAAACUCCCAUGUCUCAUUUUUCUGAUGUAUUUAAUUUUGUCAUCCACUUGCUGGGGCUUAGGGAGAUUUGCAUGCUCGGAGGGUGCUAUACUUGGUCCAACAAACAGGAAAACCCUACCCUGGAAAAGUUGGAUAGGGUGUUGA